AAGACUUCACGCGGAAGUUUCUGUGAAGCCUGAAAUGCUUCAUUCUUCACUCCGACGAAAAACACAAACACAGAAAAUGAUUUUCGCCUAAGCUGAACAUGAAGAAUAGGUUUCACCAGAACCAGAUCCACACUUCAAACCCCCCUUAAUAGUACGGCGUUCCUAUACUCAAGUGAAGAAAAAAGCUACGGGAAAACCUAUGAAGAAAGCUACGCUUCACAUUCUUCACCGUUCUUCACUGAGUUCUUCAUACUUCAAGCCAGUACCUGUACUUCAAUUUUUAGGGGUCGUCGAUGCUGGUUAAACCAACU
RNAcentral lists this long non-coding RNA (311 nucleotides) under Brachypodium distachyon (stiff brome). RNAcentral describes it as "long non-coding RNA (BDIS_LNC004791)". The record is from RNAcentral. Lineage: Eukaryota; Viridiplantae; Streptophyta; Magnoliopsida; Poales; Poaceae.